AUUGAACGCUGGCGGCAUGCCUUACACAUGCAAGUCGAACGGCAGCACGGGUGCUUGCACCUGGUGGCGAGUGGCGAACGGGUGAGUAAUACAUCGGAACGUACCUUAUCGUGGGGGAUAACGCAGCGAAAGCUGUGCUAAUACCGCAUACGCCCUGAGGGGGAAAGCGGGGGAUCGCAAGACCUCGCGCGAUUAGAGCGGCCGAUGCCUGAUUAGCUUGUUGGUGGGGUAAAAGCCCACCAAGGCGACGAUCAGUAGCUGGUCUGAGAGGACGAUCGGCAACACUGGGACUGAGACACGGCCCAGACUCCUACGGGAGGCAGCAGUGGUGAAUUUUGGACAAUGGGGGCAACCCUGAUCCAGCAAUGCCGCGUGAGUGAAGAAGGCCUUCGGGUUGUAAAGCUCUUUUGUCAGGGAAGAAACACCGGCUCUAACACAGUCUGGGAAUGGCGGUACCUGAAGAAUAAGCACCGGCUAACUACGUGCCAGCAGCCGCCGUAA
Molecule: ribosomal RNA, 501 nt
Filed under: uncultured bacterium
Lineage: Bacteria
Description: partial 16S ribosomal RNA
Rfam family: Bacterial small subunit ribosomal RNA
Source: RNAcentral